GCAUCGGUGGUUCAGUGGUAGAAUGCUCGCCUGCCACGCGGGAGGCCAGGGUUCGAACCCCGGCCGAUGCA
This 71-nucleotide transfer RNA is filed under the name Cordylochernes scorpioides. Its description in RNAcentral is "tRNA-Gly". It matches the Rfam family "tRNA". Rfam says of the family: Transfer RNA (tRNA) molecules are approximately 80 nucleotides in length. Lineage: Eukaryota; Metazoa; Arthropoda; Arachnida; Pseudoscorpiones; Chernetidae. The record is from RNAcentral.